Molecule: long non-coding RNA, 220 nt
Filed under: Marmota monax (woodchuck)
Lineage: Eukaryota; Metazoa; Chordata; Mammalia; Rodentia; Sciuridae
Source: RNAcentral
GCCGAGUGGAGCUCCCGCCAUCUUGCCCCGCCCCCCCCACAGCCCAGUCACCUUUUCCCUUUCUACACUCUCUGUCCACCACUCCGUCCCUUUUCAAUCGUGUCCCAGGCCUCAGCAGCAGAAACCGCGCCAUCUCUACCCCUACAUUCUCCACGCGGGACGCGCAGCCGUGCCUACAAGUGUCCUUAAAGCAGAGGUUGUAGGGGGUGUGGGGAGCGGU